This 468-nucleotide ribosomal RNA is filed under the name uncultured bacterium. Its description in RNAcentral is "partial 16S ribosomal RNA". It matches the Rfam family "Bacterial small subunit ribosomal RNA", at positions 28 to 507 of the family's 1533-position model. The record is from RNAcentral.
GACGAACGCUGGCGGCGUGCUUAACACGUGCAAGUCGAACGGAAAGGCCCUGCUUUUGUGGGGUGCUCGCGUGGCGCACGGGUGAGUAACACGUGAGUAACCUGCCCUUUACUUUGUGAUAACUUCAGGAAACUGGGGCUAAUACCGGAUAGGAGCUCCUGCUGCAUGGUGGGGUUUGGAAAGUUUCGGCGGUUGGGGAUGGACUCGCGGCUUAUCAGCUUGUUGGUGGGGUAGCGGCUUACCAAGGCAUUGACGGGUAGCCGGCCGGAGAGGUGGACCGGGCACAUGGGGACUGAGGUAGGGCCCAGACUCCUAUGGGAGGCAGCAGUGGGGAAUAUUGCACAAUGGGCGGAAGUGUGAUGAGGCAACGCCGCGUGCGGGAUGACGGCCUUGGGGUUGUAAACCGCUUUCGCCUGUGACGAAGCGUGAGUGACGGUAAUGGGUAAAGAAGCACCGGCUAACUACGUG